This 92-nucleotide transfer RNA is filed under the name Coniochaeta pulveracea. RNAcentral's name for it is "tRNA-Asn". It matches the Rfam family "tRNA". Rfam says of the family: Transfer RNA (tRNA) molecules are approximately 80 nucleotides in length. Their secondary structure includes four short double-helical elements and three loops (D, anti-codon, and T loops). Further hydrogen bonds mediate the characteristic L-shaped molecular structure. tRNAs have two regions of fundamental functional importance: the anti-codon, which is responsible for specific mRNA codon recognition, and the 3' end, to which the tRNAs corresponding amino acid is attached (by aminoacyl-tRNA synthetases). tRNAs cope with the degeneracy of the genetic code in two manners: having more than one tRNA (with a specific anti-codon) for a particular amino acid; and 'wobble' base-pairing, i.e. permitting non-standard base-pairing at the 3rd anti-codon position. Lineage: Eukaryota; Fungi; Ascomycota; Sordariomycetes; Coniochaetales; Coniochaetaceae. The record is from RNAcentral.
UCUCCCCUAGCUCAGCUGGUUAGAGCGUUCGACUGUUACCUCCUAAGGAAGCCGCAAUCGAGAGGUCGACAGUUCAAUCCUGUCGGGGAGAG